RNAcentral lists this long non-coding RNA (624 nucleotides) under Oryza brachyantha (malo sina). RNAcentral describes it as "long non-coding RNA (OBRA_LNC000804)". Lineage: Eukaryota; Viridiplantae; Streptophyta; Magnoliopsida; Poales; Poaceae. The record is from RNAcentral.
UGCCGUCCGCGCGAGCGCCGGAGUGCCGCGCGCCGUGCCGGGCCACGCCAUGGCUGACCGCCUGCACUAGGCCGAGACGCCGCGCCGGGCAAUAGCCGGCGCACGGGCUGCCAUGGCCGCCAUCGAUCACCGUGGUCGGCUGCCGUCGAUGGCGAGGAGGCGGCACCAUGGUGACGGCGGCGAUGGAGAUUGUGCCGGCGACCAUCGCACAUUCUUCUUGUACAGCGAAGAAGAUGUCGAAGGAGACGGGAGAUCGCCGAUGGCGAGGGAGACCCACGACACCGUAUCUUCUGCUCUUCCUCCCUGUGUUUCUGUUUGGUGGGAAAGAGCAAAGUGCGGAUAACUUUUUGAGAAUUGAGAAACUACGACUAAGGGAUGAAUAGAAAUGGCUUUUGAUUCCAGAGAGAGUAUUGGAGAAAUAAGUGAAUCAUGUUUCUCCUCCUUUAUAUCUAGAUAUGUUAGAUCCAUCCAAGGAGAUAUAUGUGAAUCAUACUUCUCCUCCUAUUUAUUUAGAUAAAUUAGAUCUAUCCCUUGGAUGGAUGAGAUCACUCCAAAUAUUUCAUAACAUGUAUAUCGAAGGUACUGACUCCAUUUCAGCAUAACUUUAUUUUUUAAUUUCUGUGU